Alexandromys fortis (reed vole) is the source of this 841-nucleotide long non-coding RNA. RefSeq lists it as uncharacterized. The record is from RefSeq and is a predicted model, not a curated record. NCBI's taxonomy places the organism in Eukaryota, Metazoa, Chordata, Mammalia, Rodentia, Cricetidae. The transcript is spliced from 5 exons.
GGCAUGCAGCCUGCAGCCUGCAGCCCUGUGAUGACGACUCACCCAGACCAUUAAUGCGGUUUACAUUCCUGGCUACUCACGGUGGGCAGCUGGAUGGACUGGUCACUGUGAAUAGGUCUUUGUUGGUCCACAGGUUUACAGUAAAGCGAGGACAUCUGUGUUAAUAGGCUCUAAGUGUCCAAAGACGGCACACCAGGUAUCAAAGUCAGCCAGAAGAUCAGGGUCAGAAGCCACGUCCGACAGGUUCCUAGGGGUAGGCCUUGUCUUUGACUCACGUUUCUGCUGUCUGGUGGUACCCGUCACAAAAUGAUGUCUGGUGGUCAUCGUGCACAAAAGCAGGGACUCAGCAAGUGCUUGCUGAUAGAGGAUGACCAUGGGCGUGGCAGAGGGUGAAGACAGCAUACAGGAGCCCGUGUCUUCUCACACAGCUUCUCUAGCCCGGCAAACAGACACGUGUUUUAUAUACAAACACCGGGACACAUCUCUGCACCCACAGAGGAAGAUAUCAAACCUUGGGCAGUAGGCUGUGGGAGAGCCUCCAUGUAUGCAUAUGCCUGUGUCUCAAUGAAGAUGACUGACCAGGUCCUCCAGGAACUGUCUGGACAGAGAGGGAAUGCCUCACUUGCUGAACAGGGUGGAGUCGCGUUGGGGAGCAACCCAGCAGGCUAUUCCUGUUUGAAUGAAUCCAGUUAUAGGUUCCAGAUAGCGAAGACAGUAGAAGAAUCCAUGGGCAGUGGUCACACCCCGGUCUCCCAAGUGUCCCUCAAGCUACUCCUCAGCCACAUUUUUAUUCCAACACUUAGCCCUACUUGACUCAAGACGCCAAUAAAAUCUUUUUAUU